UUCUGUAGAGAUAUCACCUCAGCAAGAGACUAAUUAAGGUUGGCCUUAAUUUAUACUUGGAUGGGGGAAUCACUGGGAAUUCCAGGGCUAUACAUU
This 96-nucleotide ribosomal RNA is filed under the name Notechis scutatus (mainland tiger snake). Lineage: Eukaryota; Metazoa; Chordata; Lepidosauria; Squamata; Elapidae. The record is from RNAcentral.